GUUUCCGUAGGUGAACCUGCCGCUGGAUCAUUAC
This 34-nucleotide ribosomal RNA is filed under the name Meloidogyne incognita (southern root-knot nematode). Its description in RNAcentral is "partial 18S ribosomal RNA". The record is from RNAcentral. Lineage: Eukaryota; Metazoa; Nematoda; Chromadorea; Rhabditida; Meloidogynidae. RNAcentral also lists the same sequence under 1 other name.